AGUUAAAAUAUUUAUCUAUUUUUACUGUUAAAAAUUGGCGUAGCUGACACAUGGCUUUGUCACAUGUACCUCAUGGCAAUGUACAAAGACCAGUUCUUAACGGUAGAAAUGGAUGAAUUUUUUAACA
Non-coding RNA from Gossypium raimondii (Peruvian cotton), 127 nucleotides. The record is from Rfam. Lineage: Eukaryota; Viridiplantae; Streptophyta; Magnoliopsida; Malvales; Malvaceae.